Molecule: ribosomal RNA, 253 nt
Filed under: uncultured bacterium
Lineage: Bacteria
Description: partial 16S ribosomal RNA
Rfam family: Bacterial small subunit ribosomal RNA
Source: RNAcentral
GACGUAGGGGGCCAGCGUUGUUCGGAAUUACUGGGUGUAAAGGGUUCGUAGGCGGCGUGGCAAGUCGGGAGUGAAAUUUCUGGGCUCAACUCAGAGACUGCUUCCGAAACUGCUGUGCUGGAGUGUGGGAGAGGCGCGUGGAAUUGCAGGUGUAGCGGUGGAAUGCGUAGAUAUCUGCAGGAACACCCGUGGCGAAAGCGGCGCGCUGGACCACUACUGACGCUGAGGAACGAAAGCCAGGGGAGCAAACGGG